UACGAAGGGGGCUAGCGUUGUUCGGAAUUACUGGGCGUAAAGCGCACGUAGGCGGAUAUUUAAGUCAGGGGUGAAAUCCCAGAGCUCAACUCUGGAACUGCCUUUGAUACUGGGUAUCUUGAGUAUGGAAGAGGUGAGUGGAAUUCCGAGUGUAGAGGUGAAAUUCGUAGAUAUUCGGAGGAACACCAGUGGCGAAGGCGGCUCACUGGUCCAUUACUGA
This 220-nucleotide ribosomal RNA is filed under the name uncultured bacterium. Its description in RNAcentral is "partial 16S ribosomal RNA". It matches the Rfam family "Bacterial small subunit ribosomal RNA", at positions 524 to 743 of the family's 1533-position model. The record is from RNAcentral.